ACACGUCUCACGCCUCGCUCGUAGCCUCUGUAAGGAAAACAAAUGACGUGGAAUGAGUUAAAAGCCCAGUGAGGUUCCAAAUAGCAAGUUGACCAUUUUUUUAAACGUGCAAGUAUCACGUAGCAAAGUAAUGAGCAUGAAAAGUUCAUAAAAGUGGACAAUAACACUUCAAGUAGCAAUUCUCAAAAUGAGCGAGUGUAAAGUUUUCUUUUAAAACGAAACAAUAACACGCUAAGUACUAAUCAUUCCAAAGUAUAACGAUAUGGAUGGCUCUUCGGAGCCAAAUUCCCAUAACAUCACCAGAAUUUGAUCAAGUAAUAGUUGACACUCCGUCAACUUUCAAGUAAGUAACCAAUCCCGUAGAGCAUCACUUAAACUACUCUCCAUCCACCAUCCAAACCCCCUAUUGGGCCCAAAAUCCUCAAUAAACACUAGUGGUAAUACUCGAGUAUACCGAUUAGUCGAGGAGAUAUCACUCUACUCAACAAAACAAAGACCCAGGGUUCGUUACCCAAUCGACCAAGCCCUUGCCGGCUCAACUCGAGUAACUUGCCACAAGGUUUCUGGAAUUCCAGGAAGUGCGCACCAUAUACACAAAUAUAUCAAAUCCAUUGCAAUAAUAAACAAAUAUACCUCAUAUUAGGGCAAGUGUAAUAAAGUACACUCCUGCCCAAUCAAACAAAUGACAUAUCAUUAAAUCACAUUGGUCAAGUAUUGAAAAUAAGUGUCCAACUCAAUCAAGUAUUUGGAAGCACUCACCAAAAGUCUAGUACCUCUCAAAGUCACGUUCAGGUCCAACUCCUUGAUUGGAGUCCAAAUCUGCGAUAAAUAUCAUUUGCGAAUGUAAAACUCUCUAGAGUGCGAAACAUAGGAGUUUCGCUUCAAGAAAAUUAAGUAAAUGCAACUCGUUUAAGUAGUAUUCAAAAUACUUAUCAAAUUCCGAACAAUUCAUGCUCGCUCUUAAAACUUUGAAACUUUGAAGCAAUUAUAUUUGACAUACCAUUUGAGUCGAAGAAAUGGAGAAAACGUAUUUCUUUUAGUCGUAAAUUUCAUUUUUUCAAGGGUACAAGUUUUGGCCGAAUUCUAAUUUAUAUAUCUCGAUAAAAGAAGACACAAAUAUCCUAGAUGGUUCAAGUGGUAUUCGUCCUCAAAUCCUUACCUAGUCCUCGAGUGCAAAUUUGGGCAGCACGCCCUUUGUAUUUACCUAUUUUCCAGCCAUUUAUGGCCCCAUUCUUUUCCUCAAUCAGUCCCAAAGUCACACAUAAAGUAAUCUCAUUUCAAUAGCCGUUCAAUAGGCUCAAUGUCGUACAGUACAAAAUCAAGUUAGGAAAAUAUCCGGAAAUGAAGUUUAAGUCAUAAAACAAAAGAUAGAUUUAACGUCGCUUAGCGUAUCGGACACAGCCAAAGCUACGCUUAUCAAAUUUAUGUGCAAUUCAUACCAUUUUGAAGCUAAGAUAAAGGGCUACAACUUUGAUGAAGACCACUCAGUCCAGUUUGUAGUGUAUCCAGGUCAAAAUUUCAAAUUACAAAACCAGAAUCUCACAAUCAGGCUAGUUAACCGCACUAUACGUAAAUGACAAUAACUCACGCUACUGAAGUCCAAUUGAGGCUUUUUCAGGGCCGUUGGAAAGCUAAGACAUAACACUACAACUUCUGUGUUUUAGCCAAAUGCUAAUUCAGUACGUAUCAGGGUGAACAGAUGCGGUCAGAUAGGUGAAAUGUCGACACUGUCCACAGAUCUCUACCUAUGGCAGUUAGGGGUAUUUUUGUCUUUUCAUGUGCUACAGUGCUUGAAUUGAGUUGAAAUUUUACAGAAAGCUAUAAAACAUCAUUCCCUAUAACUUUUAUGUUUUGUGCUGAAUCUAAUUCGGCCUCCAUCAUGGUCAAACAGAACUGGGCAGAACAGAGCAAUGAAGAAUCUCAAUUCUGGAAUUUAAGGUAUUCAAGGUGAAAUUUCACAUUUCUAGCUUAAAACCACUACUACUACCUCCUAUACAAGUCUAAAUACACCAUAUACCAUCCAAAAAACAAGAAUUACAAGUAAACCAUUUAAAACCCUAACUCAAAAUUCAUCACUACAAUCAUCAAAAUCACUUAAAUUAGGUAUCACCAAGUAUGAAUUCAAGUUACUACAUUACUCAAACAAGAGUAAGGGAAAAGGAAAGGAUGGUCAGCCAUAAUACCUCAAUAAAAGGGCUUGCAAGAGUUAUCCUUCACCUUUCCUUAUGAAAUUUAGCUCCCUAAACUUCCCAAGCUCUCAAUUUACAAGUUAAUCGGUUUAGUUUUUUCAUUUUCUCAAUCAAUCAAGCAAAACCCAAGAUGGAUUGAAGCUCUUUUUCUCUUGUUUUUCUCCUCCUCUCUCACGGCUGGCAUGGUGGAAUGAAGAACAAUUUGAGUAGUGUUUUUGGUGAUAAAUAUGGCAGAAAUUAGUUGGUUUUAGGUUGGGUCAAAGAUAGUUAGAUUGCUUCCACUUGUCACCAAGAGAUUAGCUUCCAAAAUUUUUUCUUUUCCUCGGAUUUUUUAGUCAAGAAUUUCGGCCAUCACAUGCUGAUUAUGGGCUGAUAUUUUGGCUCUAAUAACAAUGAGAUUAAGUUAAUGAAGUGGUGGUCAAGUGGUGUAUUCAAUCGAUAGUGAACAAUACCCGUCGGUUCGAGCCGAUUUUCCUUAAAUCGCAUAUACUAGGGUUUUGUCUUAUAAUUCACUAACCUAGUAUUAUCACUUUUAAUCACACACUUAAUAUCAUCUAAAACUCACUCUUAAUCACCAAAUUUGAUACACACUUCGUACCGAAUAGUCACACUACGAAAAGGCGUAAAAACCCUAAUUUGUGAUAACUUGAAAACGAAAGGGAAAACCCUUAAUUCUAUGUUCAUUUGCACUUAUUGUGGGGUGAUUGAGUAGUAAGGCUUUUAAAAAAGUAAUAAAUGCCAAAUAAAAGGGAAUUUUAAGAAAAAUAUAAGGGAUUUUACAAUUCCAUAGAUUAAAAGUAGGGUUUCGAGUAAAAUAUGAGAGAUUUAAGAAAACCUGUUAGUCACAUAUAAAACUAGGGUUUUAAGUACAAGUAGGGUUUCUAAUCUUUAAAACAAAACAAUGUCUUAAAACAAAAUAAAAUAUAGAAACCGUAAUAUCUUAAAAGUCGAGGUAUCAUAUCUGUAUUGGGCCGAACAACUAUCCGAGUUACUCCAUUCAAAUUAUCUCCCACCUGCUUGAGCACUAACGAUGGGAGAUGGGAAAAUGCAAGUUUGAAAGAAGUAGUGCGUUAUCUCAUCGUCGACCUUAUAUAACUAAUGGUGAUGUUUGGUAGUGGAAUGCAGGCGUAGGAAGAUUCCAAUUGUGAAACACAUAGUCAAAAAAGUAGAUGUCACUUUUUUAGACCUCCUCGUGACCACUCUUCUUUGGAAUCACAUUGCGCCCCAUCAUAUAGAUAAUGAGGCGAUGGCGAGUGUCAAAAACGCUAGCAACUAUCGUCUCUUUCCUAGAGGAGCGGAAAGGUUGGUACUCGAGAUCAAAUUGAGACAUGGCAUGUAAUGGAUCCCAUCUCUCAUUGGGAGCAACAAACCCGUUCUUCAAAUCAACAACUGGACUAGUGUUGCAACCCAAAAUGUGCGUGAUGAGAUCACGAGUCAAGCAAAUCUGAGUACAGCACACCCAGGAGUCCACCAACUCUCCACUGUGACUUGCCUUGUUGACUAUGUUGGCAUAAAAUUUAUGCACUAAGUCUGAAUAGUAAUGAGUCAGCAAAGUGAGAAUAGGCACCCACCCAAGCUGGGUAAACGUCUCAAAUAUGAUAAACCGUCUCAAUUUCUGAACUAAUAUGCUUUUCAAGGAUGAACUCCAAAUUAACAUGUGUUUCGUGCUACUCUUGAUUGCUUCGACUUGAAAACCUAGCACCAUCACAAACAUUCACCUCUGAGCAUCUAGAUGUACUCCCCCAUUAACACCUCGUCAUGGAUUGGGUGAAGGAGACCUAUCUUCUUCACUUUAUUUAAUCUCCUCAAUCACUUCCAUCUCUUCGCUUCCUUCAGUAUCCUCGGUGCUCGAAGAGGAAGGCUUACGAAUAACAUGUCUUUUUCCUCUUGUCAUGGCAUCUAAGAAAGAAAGUAUAAUUAGUUUCUUAUACCAGACCAAAAUUUUGCACACCUCACAUAUCAUACUAGAAGUUAUUCUUAUAAAAUGCUUAAAGAAGAAUUUUGCCACUAUAGCAACCAUAGGCAUAUUAUAGAAUUAUCAUUCAUAUAUAGGGACUAAAAUUGGCUCUAUGAUCCACAAAUACACAUCUCCAUGUCAUAAAGAAUCAAUUAAAUAUUCAAUAAUGCAUAAUAUUAUAACAUGAAAGACAUGACAUUAAAAUGAUCAAAAAUUUGUCAAAAUCACCAAUUUAUUAAAAUAUGGAAACAAACAUUUUCCAAUUCAUGAAUUUGGUAAUAACCAAAUUUAUAGCAAGCAUUAAUUAGUAACAAUAAUUCACAUUUAGCCAUAAAUAUGAUUAAGCAAAAAUUACCCCAAAAAUCACAAAAUUCAUUAAAAUUACUCUCUAUACACAAUGUACUUGCUAAAACAUUAUCAACCAACCAUUGUUAGUUAUAAUCAACAAAAAAAAUAGCUCAAAUAACAAUCUAAAUUACUUUUUUGGUUUUAUCCAAAUAUAGUAACUUUAAAAUUUAAACAGCUAAUAAAACAUUAAACUGCUACAUUUGAACAUGUAAACAUACUUAAACAACCUUAAUAAGCCUAUUAGAAGCCAAAAACAUCAAUAAACAUCAUCAAAAAUGUGAAAUUAGAAGAUGCCAGAAAGCUUAAGAAAUUGAAAAAUACCAACUUCUAAAAUACAAAAAUUUGAUGAAGAAACUACCAUCAAUCACGUAAAAAGAUGCUUGGAGAAGAAGAUUAUGCAAAAAAACCCUAUGAAAAACACCCCAAUUGACCUCCAAUUGAUGAAUUUAAGAGUUAAGAACCCUAACUUCGAAUUUCUCAAAAAUCAAAUUUUAGGUUAUUUUUCUUGAAUUUCAACUAGUUAAAAAGACUCUAGGAAGGUUAAAUGGUGUUGGGUUGAUAUUUUUUUCCAAGGAAUUGGAAUAAAAAUGAAGAUUUGUAAAGUGUGUGUAAUAGUGUGGGAGAAGUGUGUGAGAAUACGUGGCCUUGAGGAGGAGAAGAAGAAGAAGAAGAAAAAUGAACCCACGUUUAGUCACUUUAGUGCCUUUAAAAGAAGUAUUGAAAAUGCAGCAAGAAAAUAUGGCUUUGAGCUCACAUUUUUGAACUCGCAUUUUCUACUUUAAAUUUACAAAAGACAAAACGUGGGUUCAAGAAAACUUGAUCUUAGGUCACGUUUUGAUGUCCAUAUUUUCUGUUGAAAAAUUGCAGAAUGCAAUACGUGACUAUGAAAAUGCAACCUUAAGUCAUGUAUUGAGCCUGUAUUUUCUUCAUUCUGCAUUUUUUCUGCAGAAAUUUCGAACUUUCCUAAAAUUAUACUUGUUGUCCCAAUUGCUCAAAUUACAUUCUAGAUCAUUCUUUUGUCAAAAUAAUCAAUGCACACACAUGUAAAAUGAUCAAAACAUGCAUUUUACCCCUUCUUAACGAAUAAAAAACAGCAUUUGCUCAAAUCGAGGAGUUGAGUUCCUUGAUCAAAGUUCACAUUUUUCACAUCAAAUGAUCAUCCUUGCUUCUAUAUUCAAAACCAAUAAUACAAAAAUAAUAAAAUAAUUUAAAUACAUAAUUUAAACACAAAAUCACACUAAAUUAAUAUAUAUCAUAAAGACAUUAGGUUGUCUCCCAAUUAGUGCUUUUAUUCAUAGCUGCUUUCUCGAUUCAAAAGCAUUGACUCCUAAGGUUGAAGAAGAAUCACCCAAAGGACAUAUAAGUCCCUUGGGGAUGAUUUCACCCGCCAAAUAGGGUUUUAAUUUUUGUCCGUUGACCUUGAACCGCCCAUUUCUUGCAUUAACUACUUCAACGGCUCCAUAAGGAAAUACUUGAGUCAUUUCAAAUGGUUCUGACCAUCUUGACUUGAGUUUUUUUGAAAAUAAUUUAAGGCGUGAGUUGUACAAAAGUACUUUUUUGCUCCACCUCAAAUUGUUUAGGGAUAAUAUGCUUAUCAUAUCAAUAUUUCAUCUUUUUUUUAUAAAUUUUGGUAUUUUCAUAAGCAUGUAGUCGGUGUUACGCUAAUUCACUUAACUCAAGCAAUCUUCUUCUAUCUGCAAGAUUAAAAUCUAUGUUAAUUGAUUUAAUAAUCCAAUAUGCUUUAUGUUCAAUUUUCACAGGUAAAUGAUAAACUUUUUCAUAAACCAAACAAUAUGGCGACAUCUCCAAGAGUGUCUUAAAUGACGUCCAAUAAGCUCAAAGUGUAUUAUCGAGUUUUCUAGUCCAAUCUUUUUGUGAUUUGUUCACUGUUCUCUCCAAGAUGAGUUUGAUUUUUCAAUUUGUUAACUUCGCUUGUCUAUUUGCUUGAAAAUAGUAUGGAAGUGAUGUCUUGUACAUACAAUUAUACUUAAUCAAUAAGAAAUCAAGUUUUUUAUUAUAAAAUACUUUCCUUCAUCACUUACUAUGACUCUAGGUAUACCAAAUCUAUUAAAAAUAUUUUUUUUAGAAAAUAGAAAUACUACCUUAGUAUCAUUCAUAGGUGAAACGUGCAACUCCACCCAUUUGGAGACAUAAUCUACGACUACUAAGGUGUACUUAUCAUUAAAAGAAUUAGAAAACGGUCCCAUAAAAUUCAUCCCCCAAACAUCAAUUAAUUCAACUUCUAAAAAAGUUGUAAGAGGCAUUUCAUUUUUUCUUAAUAUGUUUCCAAUUUUUUGACAAACAUCACAAUUUGUAACAUGUUUCCUAACAUCCCAGUACAUUGUUGGGUCAAUAAAAUUUCAAUUGUCAUACCUUUACUACAGUUUUUGAAGUACUAAAAUGAUCCCCCGUUUCUAGGUUAUGACAAUGAUAUAAAAUAUCACGUAGUUCACUUUCAGGAAUACAACUAUGUAUCAUACCAUCGGUAUAAUAUUUAUAAAACAGUGGUUCCUCCCAAAAGUAAUUUUUCACGUCAUGCAAGAAUUUCUUCUUUUGGUGAUAAUUAAAACCUUUCGGUAUUACUCUACUUACCAAAUAAUUGGCAAAAUCUGCAUACUAUGGAGAAUUAACAAUUGCUAAGACAAAUUCAAUCAAAAAAUUCUCUUUAAUUGAAAUUUGAUUAUUAGUAGGGAUGUACUCUAGUCGUGAUAGGUGAUCCAUCACAAGAUUCUUCAAUCCCUUUUUAUCUUUUAUUUCUACAUCAAAAUUCCCACAAUAAAAGAAUCCAUCGAAUUAGAUGAAGUUUUGUAUCUUUCUUAUGGAACAACUAUUUAAGAGUUGAUUGGUCCAUAUAAAUGAUCACUUUAGAUCUUACUAAAUAGGAUUUAAAUUUAUUUAAAACAAAUAUCACUGUCAAUAGUUCUUUUUUCGUGGUUGCAUAUUAAGUUGUGUUUCAUUAAGCAACUUGUUUGCAUAAUAAAUUACAUGCAGCCUUCCUUCUUUUGACCUAAAACAGCUCUAACCUUCCUUCUCUUUGGUUUCUAUUGUUAAUAGAAUUGACAAUUUGACCUACUUGGACCUCCAUAUUUCUAUACAUCCCGGUCAAUUGAUCCAAUCUCCCCUUUAGUCGCUCAAAUCUUUUCGAGGUGCUGUUGGCCAGUUUUUCCAUCGCAAUCUCCGAACCUGAUUUAGUGUCCGUUUGUGAUUGUUUUGGUUGAAAUUCUAGCAAGUUAGUCAACUUUUAAGGAUUGCUUUGAUUCUUCAUCCAAAAUUUGGAUGAUUUCUCCACUCCGGAUUGUAUGUGUUUAAGUAGGGGUUAUUUUGAAUAUUUCUAUUGUAAUUAUUGACAAAUUAAGUUUGCUCAAAAUCAAUACACUCAUUCGUAUUAUGUUCACCCCCACAUGUAGAACAAUAAGCAACAUGUACAUUAGGUGAAGAAUUUGGACCAACUUUGACUUGUCUACUUAGCAAUUUUACUAUGUUGUUUAUUUGGGCACUUAACAUAUUUAGAGUGUCCAUUUCGAUCAUAUCUGCUUGCUGUCGAGAAUUACUUUGAUCAUUCGCCCUUUGAUAGUUAUUUGCCGCCAUUUUUUCUAUUAAAUUUUGAGUUUCUUGGAGCGAUUUACCCACUAACGUUCCCUUUGUAACUGUAUCAAUUGUAGUUUUAGUCAAGAAAAAUAAACCAUUAUAGAAGAUUUGGACAAUGAGCUAAUCAGGAAGUCCAUGAUGAGGACAUUUUCAUAGCAAAUUUCUAAGCCUUUCCUAAGGUUCAUACAAUAAUUCACUCUCUUGUUGACUAAAAAUAGUUAUGUCCAUUCUAAAUUUAGCCAUUUUAUCGAGUGAAAAGUAUUUGGUGAAUGUAUUUGGAGCAUCCCAAAUGGUGAAAGUAUUUGGAGCAUGAGAAUACAACCAAACUUUAGGUUUAUCUCACAAAGAAAACAGGGACAACUUUAACCUAAUGGCAAAAUGUGGCUAACUUUAACCUUACUUCACUAACUCCUUUCAUUUUAAUAGUAUCACAUAUUUUAAAAAAUGUGGCUAAGUGUGCAUUUGAAUCCUCUAUAGUAUCACCUCCAAAUUGAGAUUAUUGAUUCAUUUGAAUGAGUGAUGGUUUACUCUCAAAAUUAUUAGCGUUUAUCGUUGGUCGUGCUAUGUUUGUUUGUGAUCCUUGAGUCCUCGAUAAAGCAAAAUCACUAAAAACUUGCCCAUUUGUUUCAUUUUUUGCCAUUUUUUCUUCGAAAGGCAACUCUAUAGCGAUUCUCUCGAUAUGUUGAGUCUCAUUUUCCUCUCGUGGUACACGCUUUCUUUGUCAUCUUAGUGUCCUUUUAAUUUUCGAAUCAAAAGGUGCAACAACGUACACACAACGUCCGGUGUAUACACUACAAGUAAGAAGAAAAGAGAUAAUGUAGUAGCUAUAUCACAAAAACAAAUAAAAAUUCUAACCUAUCUAUCGACACAAUUCAACUAACUAAUAAAGAAAACAUCUAAAUUAAUAAAACUUGUUAGAUCUAAAUAUUGUCGAUCCCCGACAAUGGGGUCAAAAACUUGAUGGGUUCUCAAUAUAAGUGCAAGUUAAUUCAAAAUAUACCCGUUUGACUAUAAGUAUAAAGGACAAAUAAUAGUUUAGAAUAUAUAUUGGUCGAUUCCACGAGGAGUAACUAUUACAAGUACUAGAUCCUUUACUUGCUCAACAAUACUUACUAACUAACUAUUUUAACUAAAUAAUUUGUAAGAUAACAAUGGAGAAAUGUCACUAAAUACUUGAGUUUAGGGAAAUAGAAUCCACUUAUGGCACAAAAGAUACAAGUGAAUAUAUUUACCUCUUGUCACUACUUUUGUUUAACUAGAAAUUCAUUUCCAUAUUUGCCAAAAUUCACUCUUAUGAUGUAGUGGUUUAGAAUAGUCCAGUUUUCCCUAUUCUCAUUGUGAAUAACUAAAUCUACUCUUUUGUUCUUCAUGAAAUGCAAGGUUAAUCCCCUUAAGUGUACCUUUAUUCUCAUGAGUUUACUUCUUAAGCUCCAUUUAUAUUGUUCCAUCAUUAUUAUAAAUUUUUUUUGAAUAAAAUAACUAAAAACUUGCUAUUGGUGAUCAAGUAAUAAGUAUGCAUAAAUGGACAAGUUAAUACAAGAGAUAGCAAGUGUAAAUCAUAUUCAACUCAUAUCAAGUAGCUAUAAGGUCCAUCUACUCUCGAGAUCUAGAAAUUUAGCCACUCAUGUGAUAUAAGACCAUAAAAAGUAUAACUUCAUUGUAUGCAAAUAUAAUGAAUCACAAGUAAAGAGAAAGAUGGAGAAAUCUUAGCCAAGGUAAUGAACAAGCUUCCAAUCUUCUAUUUCUUCAAUAAAAUGAGUAAUACAAUGAAAUUCUUCAAAUUUUUCCUAAAAGUUUCUAGCUAGAGAUGAGAAGAAAAUACUACAACUAAUUUCUACCAAGAACUUCUAAGAACUCCUUCUCUGUUCAAUGAUUCUUGCAUAUUAAUAUUAGGAGAGUCAAAAAGUGAAAAAUGAUAUGGCAUAAAGUUCCUAUUUCCUUCCCUAAGGAAUCUUGAGCAUGUGCAGCCAAAAUACUGAGUUAAAAUUGCGCUGAAAAGCAGUGUAAAAAUAGAGCAAGUUGCAGAACAAGUUACAAAAAAAAAAUAGGGCACAAUAUGUGAGCCUACAAUACGUGACCUAAGCCCACAUAUUCGAGGUCGUGUAUUGCUUUCAGGUACAUUUUCUUGCUUCUUUUCUGCUCCAAUUGAUCACUAUCAUCACAUGCAAGAUGUCCAAGUGGUUGUUCAUCUAUUUCACCAAUAAUACUUGCAUUUGAUGCUCUUCAACUUCCCAAAUAUAACUAACUUUGCACAUUAAGUUGCUCAAUUGAAACUCACAAAAUUUAGAAGUUUAGGGAGCAAGUUACAUCUUAAAACAUCCUAAUUUGUACCAAAAAUAGGCACAAAAUGCUAUUUAAAAACACUCAUAAUAAACAUUUAUUAAAUUUUUCCACACUUGAACCAUUGUUUGUCAUCAAACAAUAAGAAAAAUGAUCCAAUAAUGAUUUAAGAAGUAAAAUGAAUCAAAUGAAUUUGAACAUCAAUUUCUCUCGACUCGGCAAGUUUUCAUUAUGCAACCAUUCAUAGCACGCUCAAUACUCAUCAUAUCAAGCAAAAGAGAGAUAAUUAUACCAAAAUUUAACCUAACAAAAUCAAUCUCUUUAUCUCGCAUAGUCUCACAAAUAACUAACCUAUAUAAUCACCUUAGAAUUUCUUCCUUUGAAAUGAAAUGUUAACUUUACGAACUUUAAGAGGGAACUAUUCACUUUACUUCUCUUUUAUUCAUUCUUAAAAGGGUGAAAGUGUCUUUUUACAUGAAAAUCGAUAUUUUAGAUGAAGAUUUUCGAUUAUUCAACAAUUCACUUAUUUCUCCUUAAUUCAAGUAUCUUUUUACAUGAAAGUCGACAUUUGUAGAUGAAAACUCCCGAUUACUCAAUAUAAUAAUUUAUUGAAACUCUCUUUGUUUUUAUGAGCAAUUCUUUCAAUAAUGUAGAUACAAGAAAGAAAAAACUUUAGGAACUAUAUAAAUUAAUUACAUGUAAAAACAAGUAAGAUGAGAUAUUUCAUUUAUCUUGCAAAAUUGUAGGCAUAAUUUUUCCUAUUUUAUAAGAUAUUUUCUCAUAUGUAAUAGUAGUAAUCACAUAAUAAUUGCUUUCAAGUCAAGUGAACAUUGACUUCUCCAAUUACUUACUUCAUUUCACUAAUAUAGGAGAAUUUUAAAUAAAAAGGGACUUAAUUGUCAUGCAUUUAUGGACUCAAAUGAAUGACGUACUAAAAAUUUAGGGCAAAUUUUGAAUUGUGGACAAGAUUUUGAAAAAAUUGUAAUAGAGCUUCCCCUUAAAACUAGAUGAAACUCCCUGUCAAAAAUACCCAAGAAUCAACAAUUUAAAGCACAAAAUAAUUUUCCAAUAACAUGUCCAAUAUUUAAAUGCUAAAGUAACUUCUAUGUAGGACAUUCCUUCCCCCACAUUUAACAUACACAUUAUCCUCAAUGUGUAGGGAAAAAAAAUAAAGAAAAUAAAAAGAAGUUACUCCCCAAAUCAAUGGUUGAGAUCUAGUUCAACCUUGAGUCACGAUCUAUUGGCAAUCAAUGACGAAAAUCAAUUAGAAUUUCCAUAAGUCCCAAGUGCAAAAAGAUAAGUGCAAGUUAAACAUUCUACAAGGAAAAGAUAUAAAGAAAACUACUAAUAAACACAGAAGCAAAAGCAAAAGGCAUCAAGAGGCCGGCAUGUCUUCAAUCAUCGACGGCAUCAUCAUUAUCAUAGUGAGCUGGAGGUAUGUCCAAAUGCUCUUCAAUCUGCCGCAUGCGAAUAUCCAUUGACCUUACUUGAUAUUCAAUUGUAUCCAAUCAAUUAAAAAAUUGCCGCCAAUUGGAUUGAGGUGGUGGAGGAGGUGAAGCAGCAGUUGAUAGUCCAGUUUCAUCUUGGCAAUGACAUGCCUUCUAUCGUCGCUCCUGAGUAGGCGAAGGAAUAUGCUAUAUAGCAAUUCCCAUGACACGGAAUGAAGAAACGGAUUGUUCUGUGUUGGGGCUAACAGCUAUCGGAGUUACUCCAUUCAAAUUAACUCCAAUCUGCUUGAACACUAACAACAGGAGACGGGGAAAUGCAAACUUGAAGGAAGUAGUGUGCCAUCUCACCGUCAACCUUAUAUAACUGAUGAUGAUGUUUGAUAGCGGAAUGCGGGCGUAGGAGGAUUCCUGAUUGUGAAACAUGUAGUCUAGCAAAUAGAUAUCACUUUUUCAAAUCUCCCCGUGACCACUCUUCUUUGGGAUCACAUUGUGCGUCAUCAUAUAAAUAAUAUGUGACAGCCACACCUUCUCCUAGGGCGUAUCCUAGAAAUUAGCAGACCAUCUACCUGACUCUCGUCAGGACUCACUCACUCACAUUAACUUCAGAGAUAACAUUACCAUUGAACAACUGAAUAUUCACUCUUAAGCACAACUUCAAUCAGCUUGAAACAUAAAUUUGUCCAAUAAAUGAAAUAAAAUACAUGUUCUAAACAUCCAUUCUUAAUAGCACACCAAACUCAUGAUAAAAAGUUCGACCAUUUCAAGGUACCAAAGAAACCUUGAGUACAAUAUAUACACAUUAACGGAUCUUCUAAAAUAAACUUUCUAAUUCAACCCAAUCACUCUUCAAUCUCCAACUCUUGUAAGGAAAACGAAGCUAAACGGGUUGAGCUAAAGCUCAUUGAGGUUUGCCGAGCAAAUACAUUUAAUAAACACUUAAAUCAGUACAAUUAAGCGAGUGGUGCACAUUUCACUGUGUAAUCACUUUCAUUAAACAAUUGAGAAAACACUUCACCGAACAAUCACUUUUAAAAGGAUACGGUACUCGCAUUAGAGCCACUUCAAUGCACUACACAUUCUACCAAACUCCUCCUUAUAACCUCCAAAACAAUAAACACUUCCUCAAUUUUAGAUGGCCAUAUCAAUAUCAGUGAUUUGCUACACUGUGGUGAUACUCGAAUAUAUCGAAAGACUUACCCAAAGCUACCGUCCUACCCGACCAAGCCCUUUGCUAGCUCGAAUAGUCCGUUGAACAGAGGGUUUUGGGGCCAGUUCAGCUAGUGUGAUAAAGUACACACACGGCUUACAGUCAUGCACACUUACAAUAUCACUUGAUCAAUUAUCAACCUUCAAGCCCAACUAAACCGAGUGCGAUAAAGUACACCCUCGACUUAGAAGGUAAGGGACAUUUGAAAUAUACUUUACAAUAAAUCAUUUAGUAAUAAUUCAUAAUAAGCACAUUUGUCACAUAAUUACACUUAGGUACACAUAAAAGGUUAAACACAUAAAUUCGGAAAACACUUACCAAAGAUUCAAUGAACUAUUCGUGAGUCUCGAGUUUGUUUCUUGGCUCACAGCUAUUUCGUGGGGCAAAUUAAUAAUUUCAAGUGAAUACAUAAUUUGUCGAGGAUCAUUUAUUAUUCUUAUCUUAUUAUUUAAACUAUUAAAAUCAAGUUUGACCUUAAAAUACAAAAUAUAAUAUAUUCACUAUUUAUUCUACAUUUUAUUUUGUAACCUAUUGCCUUUAUCAUUGUCACCUUAUACUUGAACUUAUUAAAUUCACGUCUUGGUUUAGAACAAGAUAUAUUUAAUUUCUAUUUUAUAUUUUUACCUCAAACUUAUCAAUUUUGUCAAUUUAACUGAAGAAGUAAACAUAUAAUUCAAGUUUAAAGACUUCUAAAAUAUUUAGAUCAAGAUUAAACCAUUUCUAUCCACUAUUCUAAGGUUAAGGCAAGUAGCCUUUACAUGCAUUGUUUUUAACCAACUUAGAUUCUAAGCUGCCUAUAGUUUAAAGUUUACGUAAAUUUGCUAAUCUUCUAGCUUUCCCUACCUGCUGUCAACACAUGCCUUGCUAAGGUUCAUCCAUGCCCAUAGUUCAAGCUCAUAAUUAAACUCAAAUCAGCCCCUAACACUAUUCGGAUGAGUUCUUAGUUGUUACCGCAACAUGUUAACUUUACUCCAGCCAAAUGACAGUAGAUAUAACUAAUAUUUUCCUUAGAGUUUGUGGCUGUUUUGCCCUCCAUUUGUAUUUUACAUGAAGAUCUGUAAUUCAUGAUAUUUAAUGUUAUCAUGUUUAACUCCGGAUCCGCUAUAAAUCAAUUUGCAAACUCGCACCUCCCACAUCAGAAACCGAAUGAUAACAUGUCAGCUAUAAACAUUCCAAAAGCAAAACUAUCCUUCUCGAGUUCUUCAUUUCCUCACUUCCUACUUAUCAUACAAAUGGUAACUUUCAGCCACAGUAUAUCUUAACAGCAACGUAAAGUGUACAGCCAAGGGAACUGAAACCCAUAGCUGAAACAGGCCUCCUUCUCGGCCAACUUGAAACAAAAUUCUUGCAGGAACUAGUUAUGCAACAUAAAGCUCUUCAAAGUGUUUUUAGUUAUAUACCAAUCUUCCAUGCAGGUUAAAGCUGAGAUACUAUGUAACGAAUCAAGUUUCAGGGUAAAAUUUUGGAGCCAAAAUCGAUAUGGGAACCUGAUAAUGUUCUUUCUUUUCCCUCGGCUCAAACUGAAAGAAUUCCUGCAGCUAACGCCAUUCAUUUCCAGCUUACUCUUUCUGGUUUCCCAGUUUUUCCUUUCAACUUUUAGUUGGUCUUUUAGUAACGUUAUUCUUCAGCUAAAACUCAUUUCCUAUCUGGAAUUUAGCAUGCAACCUAGGCAGUCGGUUAUUCCAGAAGGACUAAAGAAUAUCACAGUCACUUUACCUCUUUCUUUCCACCUGGUGUUUGAAAGAAAGUCGCAGGCUGCACGUUUAGUUUUCCUGUUUCAGUUCCAAACCGCACCAGACUCCCCUUCAUGUUGACUUUGGCUCACCGUGCUGAGGUUACAAACUGGAGAAAUGCAACUAGCAAUAUCUAACUCUCCUCCUCACUCUCUCGGUCGCAACUGGAUGGAAGAGAGAAUCAGAGUUGUUUUCCUUUUUCUCCCUCUGGUUUGAGUGCUGAGAUGAAAGAAAUAUGAUUUCGUCUCUCUCUCAGUCUCGCUCUUAAUCUUGGUCGGUAAGAAGGGAAAUGAAAUGUGUUUCUUCACUCGGCCACCGCCCAAGCAUUAUCACCGCUGUCUCCUUUCUCCCUUGGUCAUCACUCCAUUUAGCAAUUGAGUGGGCAGCUGUCAUCACAGGU
This 15150-nucleotide long non-coding RNA is filed under the name Coffea arabica (coffee). RNAcentral describes it as "long non-coding RNA (CARA_LNC004190)". The stretch from base 8212 to 8319 matches the Rfam family "Plant small nucleolar RNA R71". Lineage: Eukaryota; Viridiplantae; Streptophyta; Magnoliopsida; Gentianales; Rubiaceae. The record is from RNAcentral.